UAGUAAUCCAGCUGUCUGAUAAAACACGU
This 29-nucleotide small RNA is filed under the name Bombyx mori (domestic silkworm). Its description in RNAcentral is "ovarian small RNA-22864". The record is from RNAcentral. Lineage: Eukaryota; Metazoa; Arthropoda; Insecta; Lepidoptera; Bombycidae.